AGGGCACCACCAGGAGUGGAGCCUGCGGCUUAAUUUGACUCAACACGGGAAAUCUCACCAGGCCCGGACACCGGAAGGAUUGACAGAUUGAGAGCUCUUUCUUGAUUCGGUGGGUGGUGGUGCAUGGCCGUUCUUAGUUGGUGGAGCGAUUUGUCUGGUUAAUUCCGAUAACGAACGAGACUCUGGCCUACUAAAUAGACGUUAGAUCCCUUUGUGGGUCUAUCGCAGCUUCUUAGAGGGACGGGCGGCGUUCAGCCGCACGAGAUUGAGCAAUAACAGGUCUGUGAUGCCCUUAGAUGUUCUGGGCUGCACGCGCGCUACACUGAAGGAAUCAGCGUGUGUUCCCUGCCCGAAAGGACUGGGAAACCCGUUGAACCUCCUUCGUGAUGGGGUUUGGGGAUUGCAAUUAUUCCCCAUGAACGAGGAAUUCCCAGUAGGCGCGAGUCAUAAGCUUGCGUCGAUUACGUCCCUGCCCUUUGCACACACCGCCCGUCGCUACUACCGAUCGAGUGAUUUAGU
This 519-nucleotide ribosomal RNA is filed under the name uncultured eukaryote. RNAcentral's name for it is "SSU rRNA". It matches the Rfam family "Eukaryotic small subunit ribosomal RNA", at positions 1161 to 1702 of the family's 1831-position model. The record is from RNAcentral.